RNAcentral lists this ribosomal RNA (411 nucleotides) under uncultured Gammaproteobacteria bacterium. RNAcentral describes it as "bacterial SSU rRNA". It matches the Rfam family "Bacterial small subunit ribosomal RNA", at positions 9 to 416 of the family's 1533-position model. The record is from RNAcentral. Lineage: Bacteria; Pseudomonadati; Pseudomonadota; Gammaproteobacteria.
GAGUUUGAUCAUGGCUCAGAGUGAACGCUGGCGGCAGGCCUAACACAUGCAAGUCGAACGGCAGCGCAGCAGUAGCAAUACUGUGGGCGGCGAGUGGCGGACGGGUGAGGAAUACAUGGGAAUCUACCCUGUCGUGGGGGAUAACGUAGGGAAACUUACGCUAAUACCGCAUACGACCGAGAGGUGAAAGCGGCGGACCGCAAGGCGUCGCGCGAUUGGAUGAGCCCAUGUCGGAUUAGCUAGUUGGCGGGGUAAAGGCCCACCAAGGCGACGAUCCGUAGCUGGUCUGAGAGGAUGAUCAGCCACACUGGAACUGAGACACGGUCCAGACUCCUACGGGAGGCAGCAGUGGGGAAUAUUGGACAAUGGGCGCAAGCCUGAUCCAGCCAUGCCGCGUGAGUGAAGAAGGCC